GUAGGUGGCAAGCGUUGUCCGGAAUUAUUGGGCGUAAAGCGCGCGCAGGUGGUUCUUUAAGUCUGAUGUGAAAGCCCCCGGCUCAACCGGGGAGGGUCAUUGGAAACUGGGGAACUUGAGUGCAGGAGAGGAAAGUGGAAUUCCACGUGUAGCGGUGAAAUGCGUAGAUAUGUGGAGGAACACCAGUGGCGAAGGCGACUCUCUGGCCUGUAACUGACACUGAGGCGCGAAAGCGUGGGGAGCAAACAGGGAUUAGAUACCCUGGUAGUCCACGCCGUAAACGAUGAGUGCUAAGUGUUGGGGGGGUUUCCGCCCCCUCAGUGCUGCAGCUAACGCAUUAAGCACUCCGCCCUGGGAGUACGGUCGCAAGACUG
This 374-nucleotide ribosomal RNA is filed under the name uncultured organism. RNAcentral's name for it is "partial 16S ribosomal RNA". It matches the Rfam family "Bacterial small subunit ribosomal RNA", at positions 527 to 896 of the family's 1533-position model. The record is from RNAcentral.